AUUGAACGCUGGCGGCAUGCCUUACACAUGCAAGUCGAACGGCAGCACGGGUGCUUGCACCUGGUGGCGAGUGGCGAACGGAUGAGUAAUAUAUCGGAACGUACCUUAUUGUGGGGGAUAACGCAGCGAAAGCUGUGCUAAUACCGCAUAAUCCCUAAGGGGGAAAGCGGGGGACCGUAAGGCCUCGCGCAAUUAGAGCGGCCGAUACCUGAUUAGCUAGUUGGUGAGGUAAAGGCUCACCAAGGCAACGAUCAGUAGCUGGUCUGAGAGGACGAUCAGCCCCACUGGGACUGAGACACGGCCCAGACUCCUACGGGAGGCAGCAGUGGGGAAUUUUGGACAAUGGGGGCAACCCUGAUCCAGCAAUGCCGCGUGAGUGAAGAAGGCCUUCGGGUUGUAAAGCUCUUUUGUCAGGGAAGAAACAGCAGCUCUAACACAGUUUGCGAAUGACGGUACCUGAAGAAUAAGCACCGGCUAACUACGUGCCAGCCGCCGCAGUAA
This 501-nucleotide ribosomal RNA is filed under the name uncultured bacterium. Its description in RNAcentral is "partial 16S ribosomal RNA". It matches the Rfam family "Bacterial small subunit ribosomal RNA", at positions 30 to 523 of the family's 1533-position model. The record is from RNAcentral.